RNAcentral lists this ribosomal RNA (253 nucleotides) under uncultured bacterium. Its description in RNAcentral is "partial 16S ribosomal RNA". It matches the Rfam family "Bacterial small subunit ribosomal RNA", at positions 524 to 776 of the family's 1533-position model. The record is from RNAcentral.
GACGAAGGAUGCAAGCGUUAUCCGGAUUCAUUGGGUUUAAAGGGAGCGUAGGUGGUCUGGUAAGUCAGUGGUGAAAUCUCCGAGCUUAACUCGGAAAUUGCCAUUGAUACUGUCGGUCUUGAGUAUAGUUGCCGUUGGCGGAAUAUGACAUGUAGUGGUGAAAUACAUAGAGAUGUCAUAGAACACCGAUUGCGAAGGCAGCUGACGAAACUAUAACUGACACUGAGGCUCGAAAGUGUGGGGAUCAAACAGG